UCUUCCCUCAGUUACUAAACUACAUUCUCUGCCUAAAACAAUAAAUCACCCUUUUCUAAAUACCUACAAUAUAAAGACUACAUAGUACUAUAAGCAUGUUUCCUCACUAAUAAGACAAUAUUUAUUUUCAUUUUCCUGUUUGUGCUUGGAGCUAAAACUCAGGA
Long non-coding RNA from Perognathus longimembris pacificus (Pacific pocket mouse), 164 nucleotides. RefSeq lists it as uncharacterized. NCBI's taxonomy places the organism in Eukaryota, Metazoa, Chordata, Mammalia, Rodentia, Heteromyidae. The record is from RefSeq and is a predicted model, not a curated record. The transcript is spliced from 3 exons.